This 1421-nucleotide ribosomal RNA is filed under the name metagenome. Its description in RNAcentral is "SSU rRNA". It matches the Rfam family "Eukaryotic small subunit ribosomal RNA", at positions 342 to 1801 of the family's 1831-position model. The record is from RNAcentral.
UACCGUGGCAAUGACGGGUAACGGAGAAUUAGGGUUCGAUUCCGGAGAGGGAGCCUGAGAAACGGCUACCACAUCUAAGGAUGGCAGCAGGCGCGCAAAUUACCCAAUCCUGACUCAGGGAGGUAGUGACAAGAAAUAACUCUAUAGGGCCUACGGUCUUGUAAGUGGAAUGAGUAAAUUUUAAAUCCCUUUGCGAGUAUCAAUUGGAGGGCAAGUCUGGUGCCAGCAGCCGCGGUAAUUCCAGCUCCAAUAGCGUAUAUUAAAGUUGUUGCGGUUAAAAAGCUCGUAGUUGGAUUUCUGCUGAGGGUAGCUAUAUGAGGUACUUUCGGGUACAAUUCAGGUGGCUUCUCGACGCACAUUUCAGCGAACGUUAGGGUGUCAUCCGUGAUUCCCAUAAUUUUGCUGAAACUAUUACUUUGAGGAAAUUAGAGUGUUUCAAGCAGACGAUUGUCUUGAAUACAUUAGCAUGGAAUAAUAAUAUAGGACUAAUGUUCUAUUUUGUUGGUUUCUGGAACUUUAGUAAUGAUUAAUAGGGACAGUCGGGGGCAUUCGUACUUAACAGUUAGAGGUGAAAUUCUUGGAUUUGUUAAAGACGAACUACUGCGAAAGCAUUUGCCAAGGAUGUUUUCAUUGAUCAAGAACGAAAGUUAGGGGAUCGAAGACGAUCAGAUACCGUCCUAGUCCUAACCAUAAACUAUGCCGACUAGAGAUUGGAUGGAAGUUAUGUCCAUUCAGCAUCUCGUGAGAAAUCAAAGUCUUUGGGUUCCGGGGGGAGUAUGGUCGCAAGGCUGAAACUUAAAGGAAUUGACGGAUUGGCACCACCAGGAGUGGAGCCUGCGGCUUAAUUUGACCCAACACGGGAAAACUCACCAGGUCCAGACAUGGGUAUGAUUGACAGAUUGAAAGCUCUUUCUUAAUUCCAUGGGUGGUGGUGCAUGGCCGUUCUUAGUUGGUGGAGUGAUUUGUCUGGUCAAUUCCGUUAACGAACGAGACCUUAACCUGCUAAAUAGUGAUGUGUAGUCCGCUACAUAAUCGCUUCUUAGAGGGACUUCGUGUUUUCAAGCACGAGGAGGUUUGAGGCAAUAACAGGUCUGUGAUGCCCUUAGAUGUCCUGGGCUGCACGCGCGCUACACUGACAUGUUCAGCGAGCUUGUUCUUUCCCGGAAGGGAUGGGUAAACUUGUGAAAACAUGUCGUGAUGGGGAUAGAUCAUUGUAAUUAUUGAUCUUCAACGAGGAAUUCCUAGUAAGUGCAAGUCAUCAGCUUGCGCUGAUUACGUCCCUGCCAAUUGUACACACCGCCCGUCGCUCCUACCGAUUGGGUGAUCCGGUGAAUUAUUCGGACUGCGAAUUGUAGUAAUACAAUUUGUAGGAAGUUUUGUGAACCUUAUCACCUAGAGGAAGGAGAAGUCGUAACAAGGUU